Molecule: transfer RNA, 70 nt
Filed under: Urocitellus parryii (Arctic ground squirrel)
Lineage: Eukaryota; Metazoa; Chordata; Mammalia; Rodentia; Sciuridae
Also listed under: 2 other names
Description: Spermophilus parryii (Arctic ground squirrel) tRNA
Rfam family: tRNA
About the family: Transfer RNA (tRNA) molecules are approximately 80 nucleotides in length. Their secondary structure includes four short double-helical elements and three loops (D, anti-codon, and T loops).
Source: Rfam by way of RNAcentral
GGGGGUGUAGUUUAGUGGCAGAGCUCUUGCCUAGCAUGUGAGAGGCCCUGGGUUCAUUCCCAGAUCCCCA